This 741-nucleotide long non-coding RNA is filed under the name Homo sapiens (human). RNAcentral's name for it is "non-protein coding lnc-CD83-10:1". Lineage: Eukaryota; Metazoa; Chordata; Mammalia; Primates; Hominidae. The record is from RNAcentral.
AUGUGACCUUAUUUGGAGAUAAGUUCUUUAAAGAGGUAAUUAAGUUAACGCGAGGUAAUUAGGAUGGAGCCCUAACCCAAGAGGACAGAUGUCCUUAUAAGAAGAGGAGAGGAGGAACAGCCACACACAGAGGGAAGACCACGCGAGGACACAGGGAGAAGAUGCCACCUACAAGCCAAGGAGAGAGGCCCCGGGAGAAACCAAGCCUGUGGACACCUGGAUCUCGGGCUUCAGCCUCCAAAACCAUGAGAAAGUACAUUUCUGUUGCUGAAGCCCCCCCAGGCUGUGGUGCUUUGUUAGGGCAAAAAUCCCGAGCAGACAAAUAUGUACACCAGUCCCAGCGCCCAGUUCAAGAUGAGAUUUGGGUGGGGACACAGCCCAAACCAUACCAACAUCCCAGGUAAAAAGUUAUGAUCCAUUGUCCAGUUCCUAGACCUGAGGCAGCUUUCAGAAAUGACCCCAGGGCCAAGUACCAGACAACUAGGGACAGCCCCCAUGCUACAGAGCCCGCUGGAAUUAUUCACACUGGCCAAUCCUAAGCCUGCUUGCCCCGCCUCACCUGUCCCUCCUGGGAAAACCACGGUCAAGGCUCUUGCCCACCGCUGUUGUCUUCUGUUCUCUCAGGCUCCUAGGAGCAGUAGGAUAUAAAUGACUCCCACACGCUUAGCGUUCCACUAAUGGAACACUAGGCAUAAAUGAGUUAAUGAGAUGCACAGAUUGUCCAUUAAUGGGCUUCAGGGA